Molecule: unclassified non-coding RNA, 253 nt
Filed under: uncultured Bacteroidota bacterium
Lineage: Bacteria; Pseudomonadati; Bacteroidota
Description: uncultured Bacteroidetes bacterium contains 16S-23S intergenic spacer region
Rfam family: Bacterial small subunit ribosomal RNA
Source: RNAcentral
UACGGAGGGUGCAAGCGUUGUCCGGAGUGAUUGGGUGUAAAGGGUGCGCAGGCUGGCGACGAAGUCGGAGGUGAAAUCUUGCCGCUUAACGGUAAAAUUGCAUCCGAUACUGGGUGUCUUGAAUCUGACAGAGGUCGGUGGAAUUCGUGGUGUAGCGGUGAAAUGCAUAGAUAUCACGAAGAACACCAGUGGCGAAGGCGGCCGGCUGGGUCAGUAUUGACGCUGAGGCCCGAGAGCGUGGGGAGCGAACAGG